CUCGGGUCCGUCAAUGAUGGCCCAGGCGAAGAGAGUGGGCUUUCAAGUUUUCGCUAGGGUUUAACGCCCUCCAAGCCGCAGGCACGCGAGGAGGAGAAGAAAUGGCAUCUUUGGCCCGCGCCGCCGCCUCCGCCGCGAGAUCGGCCAUUCGCACGGCGCCCCUCGCCGGCCGCAGCUUUGGCUCGUCCCUGGCGGCCCCCAACCCAGCUCGAGCCGCCCGGAUCCUGCGCAGGUCGGCGGUGGCGGGGCUGGAGACGCUGUUGCCGCUCCACACGGCGGUGGCCUCGGCGCGCCUCAAGUCCUGCAUCGCCGUCGACUCCACCUGCUGGAGCUCUCUUUCCCAAGGUUUUAAAAAGCGCAUCUGAUCAUGGCUAGGAGCUGCGCAGCAGAGAAGCGAAGACACCGAGUUAGAAACAAAGAUAUGCUUUGCCUUUGUGACAAAGAGCUGCACCUGAAGAAACCAACGGACAUUAGGGAUUGCAUACAUUCUGGCUGUAAUAAUUAGAUACUUGCAAACUGAUGCUUCAUCCCUCGUUUAAUUUCGUAAUGUGAUUGUCGAAGUUUUGGAACAAGUUUGUCCAUGUGGAAAGUUUAUGCCCCAUGGAUUAUCUGCAGCUUUAAAACAGUGGGUUGUCACGAGAUGGUUAUGCACAAUGUUUUCCCUUUGGGCCUCUUCUUUUCA
RNA transcript from Brachypodium distachyon (stiff brome), 682 nucleotides. RefSeq lists it as uncharacterized. The record is from RefSeq and is a predicted model, not a curated record. Lineage: Eukaryota; Viridiplantae; Streptophyta; Magnoliopsida; Poales; Poaceae. The transcript is spliced from 4 exons.